RNAcentral lists this unclassified non-coding RNA (281 nucleotides) under Hevea brasiliensis (rubber tree). Lineage: Eukaryota; Viridiplantae; Streptophyta; Magnoliopsida; Malpighiales; Euphorbiaceae. The record is from RNAcentral.
GGGUGAAUAAGCUUGUUUAUGUUAGACCUUUAAGGGCCAGGUAUAAGCCGGAGAUUGGUGAUAUUAUAGUCGGCCGCGUUAUUGAGGUUGCUCCAAAGAGAUGGAGGUUGGAAAUUAAUUUCAGCCAAGACGCUGUACUAAUGCUCUCUUCUAUGAAUCUUCCAGAUGGCAUUCAGAGGCGGCGAACAGCAGUUGAUGAACUCAAUAUGCGAAGCAUAUUUGUGGAGAAUGAUGUCAUCUGUGCUGAAGUCCGUGGUUUCCAACAUGAUGGGAGUCUACAC